Molecule: ribosomal RNA, 460 nt
Filed under: uncultured bacterium
Lineage: Bacteria
Description: partial 16S ribosomal RNA
Rfam family: Bacterial small subunit ribosomal RNA
Source: RNAcentral
CCUACGGGCGGCAGCAGUGAGGAAUAUUGGUCAAUGGACGAGAGUCUGAACCAGCCAAGUAGCGUGAAGGAUGACUGCCCUAUGGGUUGUAAACUUCUUUUAUAUGGGAAUAAAACGUUCCACGUGUGGGAUUUUGUAUGUACCAUAUGAAUAAGGAUCGGCUAACUCCGUGCCAGCAGCCGCGGUAAUACGGAGGAUCCGAGCGUUAUCCGGAUUUAUUGGGUUUAAAGGGAGCGUAGGUGGAUUGUUAAGUCAGUUGUGAAAGUUUGCGGCUCAACCGUAAAAUUGCAGUUGAAACUGGCAGUCUUGAGUACAGUAGAGGUAGGCGGAAUGCGUGGUGUAGCGGUGAAAUGCUUAGAUAUCACGAAGAACUCCGAUUGCGAAGGCAGUUCACUGGACUGCAACUGACACUGAGGCUCGAAAGUGUGGGUAUCAAACAGGAUUAGAUACCCUUGUAGUC